CCCCAACCGCUAGUCUCGCGAGAGUCCGAUCGCGGGCUGCCCGGGUGUAGGAGGUGGCUGAGGACCAGGCGGCGGGCUGCCUUUUUUCUCGCCUGGAGGAAGGAAGACUGGGAGGGAUCUUGGACAACCUAACUCAUGAGAUAGCUGUUUUCUGAGCAGUAAAUUGAGGAAGCCCAAGCAUGCCUCACUGACAUGCCCUCACUCAACAAGUUACCAUUUCCCAACUUUUCAAAAGAAAUACCUCUUAUCCACCCAAAUCAUCUAUGAUGCAUCACCCUGAGGUGCAAAAUCUUCAGAGGAACAAUCAACAUAUUGGUAUUGGAGAAACCUCUUAUACUCAUAAACCUUUCAUAGACCAUUGUCUUUUCCUGCCUAAUAUGAAUGUCUAGUAAGUGUGAGGCACGGCAUUAGUAAAGGGGUAGUUUGACCCUUUGGGGGAUGUUCCAGAUUCAAUAGCGUGGGACAGCUGGUGCAAUGACAAUUCUUGUUUUUGUUGUUUGACUAACUUACCUCUUUCAUAUUCUCACUAUUAUCAAAUAAUGAGUUACUCUUGAGGGAGUCAUAUCAGAGCAGCACUCUCACGCGGUAGGUGAGAAAGGGGGUCAAGGAGACCUGGCAGAUCUGUCCCCAGGGCUGUGGCCCCCAUGCUAGAGCUUUAGCCUGGCCAGUCAAAGGGCUAGAGUCUCUAAGGGCUUGCCCUGGCAAGAAGCACCUCCUGAGAAAGAAACUGGGAGGAAAUGGUGGAUGUGGCUUAACCAGUAACUUCCACUAACAAUGAAGCAGAAAGUAGCUUUUCUAAACUAUCAAUAAUAAAAUGUACCAACUAUGUUGAGGAAAAAUCUCGAUUAUCUUUUUCCCAUAGAAAAUGGUAUAAAAAGGCAUUGCCAUUUGAAGAGAUGAUUAAAAGUAUUGAGCCAGAAAGUGUAGAAAAAUUGUUAUAGAGAUAUUAAUUAAUAUUGUUAUUGAUAUUGUUAUACUUUUCUAGGUUAUAUGAUGUUUGUGGAAUUUAUCAUCCUUUAAAAUGCAUAAUUUGUCAUGAUUUUAUUCUCAUGUUACAUAAAUAUUUACUUUUCCACCUA
This is a long non-coding RNA of Aethalodelphis obliquidens (Pacific white-sided dolphin), 1079 nucleotides long. RefSeq lists it as uncharacterized. The transcript is spliced from 3 exons. The record is from RefSeq and is a predicted model, not a curated record. NCBI's taxonomy places the organism in Eukaryota, Metazoa, Chordata, Mammalia, Artiodactyla, Delphinidae.